RNAcentral lists this small RNA (125 nucleotides) under Marmota monax (woodchuck). The record is from RNAcentral. Lineage: Eukaryota; Metazoa; Chordata; Mammalia; Rodentia; Sciuridae.
GCUGGGCACAGUGGCACAUGCCUGUAAUCCCAGCUGCUUAGGAGGCUGAGGCAGGAAGAUCAUGAGUUCAAAGCCAGCCUCAGCAAAAGUGAGGCACUAAGCAACUCAGUGAGACCCCGUCUCUA